GGAAUUACCCAGCGCCCUGGGCAGCUUAUACAACCUGCAAACCUUGCGACUUGUUCGUUGCGUGAAUCUGAAAAAAGUAGAUGUCCGAAGGCUGAUUAACUUGAGGCAUCUUUAUGUUGAAGGCUGUUGGGAGCUAAAGUUAAUUGAAGGGAUUGAGAAAUUAACAGAUCUGCAAAGGCUAGAUCAGUUUGUUGUCCCAAUUAUCGGUGGUGAUGAAGGAAACAAGUUGGAACAUCUGAAAGACUUGAACCAGCUUCAAGGGAGUCUUGCUAUUCGUAUUCUGGGAAAUCCAAAUAUGGCGGAGAAUGCAGCAGCAAUCAUGGUGAAUAAGGCUCACCUCCUGGAAUUGAGACUAGAGUUUUACUCGGUUGAUGAAGGAAAGCAUGGAGAAAUUAUGAAUGGCUUAGAGCCGCAUCCAGAUUUGGAAUCUUUAUACAUCUGGUUUUAUAAAGGUGGCGCCUUCUCCCAUUGGUUGUCGUAUUUACACAGCUUGAGAAUGCUCAUCCUUGAGACUUGCACGGAAUGUGGGGUUUUGCCUCCUUUAGGGAAACUGGCGUCCCUUGAAUCAUUGCAUAUUGUGCAACUCCAUGGAGUCUCAAAGGUAGGAGUUGAGUUUUUGGGAAUAGAUGAUGGGCAAACCUCCUCAUCGUCUUCCAUUUUCAUAUCAUUCCCCAAGCUUAAACAACUCGGCUUCUACAACAUGGGGCCAUGGGAAGAGUGGGUAGGAGUGGAAAAUAAUAAUAUUACAAUCAUGCCAUGCCUCUCUCAAUUGACAAUUGGGUACUGCUACAAGCUAAAAGCACUGCCGGACUUCCUGUGGGAGACACCACUACAGAAAUUGCACAUCUUUAGAUCUCCAAUUCUCCAAGACCUUUACAGACAAGGAAUAGGUGAGAAGUGGGCCAAGAUCCCAACCAUCGUGAUAGAAGACUAAUCUGGAUGACGCAUCUCAAAGGCUUCAGCUUCUCUUGAAACAAGCACAGUUCUCUAUCAUUCGUCAUAUUUCAACCUGGGAUGCAUGUCCAAUGGAAGUCAAUAUUGGAGCUAGGGGACAAGGGAACAUCAAUUGAGCAUCAGGCAUUGUCUUCCCCCCUACCCUUCAGAUACAUCAGUGAUUAGUUGAGCAUGAGCUAGCAGAGUUAUAGCAUAGACCAAACCUAGGAGGGUACGAAAGAGGUCAAACACUUGAGGUGGUCAUACAUGUGCUUCCUCAGAUCGAUGCUCAACUUUCUAUCAAUUUUAGCCGUAUUCACCUUGAUUUUUUCAGGAUACAGAUGAUCAUUCAUGCCCACGUGAAUAGCUAAAGGGAUUCUUGGACUUCCAAUUCCAAUACUAGAUGAUCUUCACCACUAAGAUGUGAACCGCACCAGGCUGCUUGUACUGCUCGUAUUGAAGCUGCAUGCAUAAGCAUUCAUCAUGGCAUCUGAAUUUGGGAAACUGCAUAAGUACCAACUUGUAGAUUAUAUUAUAACUUGAAGUUCUUGGUUUUCAAGUUGGACUAUUAGCAAGUCUCGUAAAACCUUUUGAUUAAUUACAUGGACCGAGGACGGUCUAGUCAAGAAUAUCGAUCUCUUCCAUUGUCUGGACUUUAUUAGACUUACUGGGAAGCUAUGCAAGGUUAUGACAAUGAGCUGUCAUUGGAGAAGUUAAACUUGGGAUUGUUCCUUUGGUCUAAGUAGGUUAUGCUAGCUUGUGUAUCCUUCUGCUCGUCUAAGUUAUAUCAUCAUUGUUUAUAUAGGUACAUAACUCCUGCCAUAGAAUUCUAAAUUUGCAUGUUUUAGUAUAUUUGGUGUUUAUCAGUAAUUAGCAAGGAAAAAGAAGUGAGAAUAUUGAUGCAUUAUAUAGACAUGAGAAUGAUGCAUCAGAUGGUUUUCUUGAGAGAUUAAUGUUUGAGUGUGAUAUAGGUGAUCAUGACUGUCAGGAGCUUAAGAGGUUACAAACAGCACCAGUUAGAGACAUGUUCUUAAAGCAUUGAAAGAAGGCAUGAGGUUACUGAAGGCUGCCAGUUUGAAGACCUUCCUGUUUGGUUAUGAUACUCUUCUUCCUCUAAUGCUGGAACUUGGGUCCCUAU
Rosa rugosa (rugosa rose) is the source of this 2071-nucleotide long non-coding RNA. RefSeq lists it as uncharacterized. The transcript has 5 exons. NCBI's taxonomy places the organism in Eukaryota, Viridiplantae, Streptophyta, Magnoliopsida, Rosales, Rosaceae. The record is from RefSeq and is a predicted model, not a curated record.